CUAUUUAUUGGUGAUAAUCAAUAUGCUAUUUGGAUCUGCUGUCCUCUGUAGGUCAAGUUUUUUUUUUUUCUGUGACUUCAUUUGAUGCAGUCCCAGCCACGGUCCACCGUCCAUCGGGGAGUUUCCAGCUGGGUUCGUGUGAGGAUUCCAGAGAUCCAGAGAGAUUGUUUCCAGAGUCCAUAGAUUCCCAGUGUGAGCCGGGUGGCGAGCCACAUCGAAACUACUGACAUUGAACUGAGAGUGGUGAAGGAUUCCUUCAUUCCCCUUCCUCACGGACUGUGUGGACCAUUCAAAGAGCACUGAAAAAUAAUCCAAAGUGACUACUCAGUCAUUCCUUUCAUGUGGCAACUUAAAGUGAGAAUAAACUGAAACUACCUGCGUAACAUCACUGAUCUCAGGAGGAUGGGAACCUCAAGCCUGGAUAAGAUUUUCUGAGUGGAAAGGGUGUCAGGUUGCAGCCUCUGUCAGUUAACAGCACAGGUUCAUUUGUGCUGUGGAAACAGCUCUGACCCCUGGACCCCACAAGACCUGUGAGACUGUCUUGUGGAGUCAAGCAGCAGAUUCUGAUGGUCCUGGAAGUUGUGAGGUGGGGCCUCCACGGAUCUGAUAGAUCCCACAGAUGUUUUGUCGGACAGAGACUGGGGGAAUUUUGGAGGCCAAGUCAACACCUUGAACUUUUUGUCAAGUUUAAAAUAUGCCUGAACCAUUGUGAAGGAGUCAUUAUGCUGCUAAAAGGGGCCACUGCCUCUGAGAGGACACCAUGAGGGCAUGAACAUGGUCUUCAUCAAUGUUUGGGUAGAUGGUGUACACAGAUCAGGCAUAACAUUAUGACCACUGACACAAGUAAAUAACACUGACCAUCUUCUGACAAUUCAAUGAUUCAGUG
Molecule: long non-coding RNA, 886 nt
Organism: Mugil cephalus (flathead mullet)
Lineage: Eukaryota; Metazoa; Chordata; Actinopteri; Mugiliformes; Mugilidae
Exons: 3
Source: RefSeq, a predicted model, not a curated record